AUACGGAGGGUGCAAGCGUUAAUCGGAAUUACUGGGCGUAAAGCGCACGUAGGUUGUCCUGUAAGUCAGGGGUGAAAGCCCGCGGCUCAACUGCGGAACUGCCCUUGAUACUGCAGGACUCGGAUCCGGGAGAGGUCAGCGGAAUUCCAGGUGUAGGAGUGAAAUCCGUAGAUAUCUGGAGGAACAUCAGUGGCGAAGGCGGCUGACUGGACCGGCAUUGACGCUGAGGUGCGAAAGCGUGGGUAGCAAACAGGAUUAGAUACCCUGGUAGUCCACGCUGUAAACGAUGGAUGCUAGGUGUCGGGGCGCAAGCUUCGGUGCCGCAGCUAACGCAUUAAGCAUCCCGCCUGGGGAGUACGGUCGCAAGGCUGAAACUCAAAUGAAUUGGCGGGG
This 393-nucleotide ribosomal RNA is filed under the name uncultured bacterium. RNAcentral describes it as "partial 16S ribosomal RNA". It matches the Rfam family "Bacterial small subunit ribosomal RNA", at positions 523 to 918 of the family's 1533-position model. The record is from RNAcentral.